CCUACGGGAGGCAGCAGUAGGGAAUCUUCCACAAUGGGCGAAAGCCUGAUGGAGCAACGCCGCGUGGGUGAAGAAGGUCUUCGGAUCGUAAAACCCUGUUGUUAGAGAAGAAAGUGCGUGAGAGUAACUGUUCACGUUUCGACGGUAUCUAACCAGAAAGCCACGGCUAACUACGUGCCAGCAGCCGCGGUAAUACGUAGGUGGCAAGCGUUAUCCGGAUUUAUUGGGCGUAAAGGGAACGAAGGCGGUCUUUUAAGUCUGAUGUGAAAGCCUUCGGCUUAACCGGAGUAGUGCAUUGGAAACUGGGAGACGUGAGUGCAGAAGAGGAGAGUGGAACGCCAUGUGUAGCGGUGAAAUGCGUAGAUAUAUGGAAGAACACCAGUGGCGAAAGCGGCUCUCUGGUCUGUAACUGACGCUGAGGUUCGAAAGCGUGGGUAGCAAACAGGAUUAGAUACCCCUGUAGUC
RNAcentral lists this ribosomal RNA (465 nucleotides) under uncultured bacterium. RNAcentral describes it as "partial 16S ribosomal RNA". It matches the Rfam family "Bacterial small subunit ribosomal RNA", at positions 338 to 795 of the family's 1533-position model. The record is from RNAcentral.